UCCAGACUCCUACGGGAGGCAGCAGUGAGGAAUAUUGGUCAAUGGACGAGAGUCUGAACCAGCCAAGUAGCGUGAAGGAUGACUGCCCUAUGGGUUGUAAACUUCUUUUAUAUGGGAAUAAAAUGUUCCACGUGUGGGAUUUUGUAUGUACCAUAUGAAUAAGGAUCGGCUAACUCCGUGCCAGCAGCCGCGGUAAUACGGAGGAUCCGAGCGUUAUCCGGAUUUAUUGGGUUUAAAGGGUGCGUAGGCGGAAGGUUAAGUCAGCGGUCAAAUGUCGGUGCUCAACACCGGCCUGCCGUUGAAACUGGUCUUCUUGAGUGAGCGAGAAGUAUGCGGAAUGCGUGGUGUAGCGGUGAAAUGCAUAGAUAUCACGCAGAACUCCGAUUGCGAAGGCAGCAUACCGGCGCUCAACUGUCGCUGAGGCACGAAAGCGUGGGGAUCGAACAGGAUUAGAUACCCUGGUACC
RNAcentral lists this ribosomal RNA (466 nucleotides) under uncultured bacterium. RNAcentral describes it as "bacterial SSU rRNA". It matches the Rfam family "Bacterial small subunit ribosomal RNA", at positions 330 to 796 of the family's 1533-position model. The record is from RNAcentral.